Molecule: ribosomal RNA, 385 nt
Filed under: uncultured bacterium
Lineage: Bacteria
Description: bacterial SSU rRNA
Rfam family: Bacterial small subunit ribosomal RNA
Source: RNAcentral
CUCCAACGAGCGCAACCCUGACGCAGCCAUGCCGCGUGAAUGAAGAAGGCCUUCGGGUUGUAAAGUUCUUUCGGUAGCGAGGAAGGUGGUUAGUUUAAUAGGCUAGCCAAUUGACGUUAACUACAGAAGAAGCACCGGCUAACUCCGUGCCAGCAGCCGCGGUAAUACGGAGGGUGCGAGCGUUAAUCGGAAUAACUGGGCGUAAAGGGCACGCAGGCGGACUUUUAAGUGAGGUGUGAAAGCCCCGGGCUUAACCUGGGAAUUGCAUUUCAGACUGGGAGUCUAGAGUACUUUAGGGAGGGGUAGAAUUCCACGUGUAGCGGUGAAAUGCGUAGAGAUGUGGAGGAAUACCGAAGGCGAAGGCAGCCCCUUGGGAAUGUACUGA